GGCUUGGAAGCAGCCAUUCAUUUAAAGAGUGCGUAACAGCUCACUAGUCGAGCGAUCCUGCGUGGAUAAUAAUCGGGCAUAAGCAUACUGCCGAAGCUGUGGAAUUCUGUCAUUAUGAUGGGAUUGGUAGGGGAGCAUUCCAUAGGCAUUGAAGAUUUAAGGUAACUUAUAUUGGAGCUUAUGGAAAAGCAAAUGUAGGUAUAAGUAACGAUAAUGGGGGCGGGAAACCCCCACGCCGGAAGACUAAGGAUUCCUGAUCAACGCUAAUCGGAUCAGGGUUAGUCGGGUCCUAAGAUUAAGCCUAAGGGCGAGGUCGAUGGAAGAAUCGGUUAAUAUUCCGAUACUGGCGUACGGAGCGAUGUGGAGACGGAGAAGUGACAGUCCUGCCCACUGACGGAAUAGUGGGUUGAAUGGUGUAGGCUUUGAGGGAAGUAGGCAAAUCCGCUUUCUGAGCUGACCCUAACAGUACCGAGCGUUCUUGAACAAUCGGAUAAUGGAUGUAAUCAUGCUCCCUAGAAAAUCCGCUAAGCGUUAAUUCGUACGGCACCCGUACCACAAACGGACACACGUGGUCAAGUAUAGAGUACUAAGGCGCUCGAGUGAUUCAUGGCUAAGGAACUAGGCAAAAUAGUCCUGUAACUUUGGGAGAAAGGACGCCACUAGCGAUAGUGGCCGCAGAGAAAUGGCCCAGGCGACUGUUUAACAAAAACAUAGGGCUUUGCAAAAUCGAAAGAUGAGGUAUAAGGCCUGACACCUGCCCGGUGCCGGAAGGUUAAGAGGAGAAGUCAGCUCACGCGAAGCUUUGAAUUGAAGCCCCGGUAAACGGCGGCCGUAACUAUAACGGUCCUAAGGUAGCGAAAUUCCUUGUCGGGUAAGUUCCGACCUGCACGAAUGGUGUAACGAUCUGGGCACUGUCUCAGCCAUGAGCUCGGUGAAAUUGUAGUAUCGGUGAAGAUGCCGAUUACCCGCAACGGGACGGAAAGACCCCGUGAACCUUUACUGCAACUUAACGUUGAAUCUGGGUGGUCGAUGUGUAGGAUAGGCCGGAGGCUGUGAAGGGUGGACGCCAGUCUGCUUGGAGCCGUCGUUGAAAUACGGCCCUUCGGUCAUUUGGGUUCUAACUCCCUCAGGGAGGACACCGUUUGGUGGGUAGUUUGACUGGGGUGGUCGCCUCCAAAAGCGUAACGGAGGCUUCCAAAGGUACCCUCAGGCCGAUUGGUAACCGGUCGUAGAGUGUAAUGGUAUAAGGGUGCUUGACUGAGAGACCGACAAGUCGAUCAGGUAGGAAACUAGGGCAUAGUGAUCCGGUGGUUCCGCAUGGAA
Molecule: ribosomal RNA, 1323 nt
Filed under: activated sludge metagenome
Description: bacterial LSU rRNA
Rfam family: Bacterial large subunit ribosomal RNA
Source: RNAcentral